GUAUGUGUGCUUAGGAUACACAGGAGUUCAUCCGUUCAUUCCAGACAGAAGCUCCACAGAAGAGAGGCCUCUGCUCAGCACAAGAUCGCUCCCUGCAGGAGAGAGUCAGAGCCCAGUUACGUGCGGCCCUGUAUGACAUCCAUGAUAUCUUCUUUGAAAUGCCUCUCUGGGAUCGAUUAGCAUUGCUGCAGCAGGACAGGGAGCUACGAGCUGAGAGGAAGCUGCGAGACAUGAAGCAGAAAGCCAAGAGCCCCAAGGAGAGAGUGGUUCUGUCUGCUGCCACACAGAGGUCUCUGGACAGGAAAAAGAGGCUCAGUGAAUCCCCGUCCACCGCUA
Molecule: long non-coding RNA, 336 nt
Organism: Pungitius pungitius (ninespine stickleback)
Lineage: Eukaryota; Metazoa; Chordata; Actinopteri; Perciformes; Gasterosteidae
Exons: 4
Source: RefSeq, a predicted model, not a curated record